CACACCGCCCGUCACAUCACGAAAGCUGGCUGUACUAGAAGUCGCCGCGCUAACCCGCAAGGGAGGUAAGCGCCUAAGGUAUGGUUAGUGAUUGGGGUG
Molecule: ribosomal RNA, 99 nt
Filed under: uncultured bacterium
Lineage: Bacteria
Description: partial 16S ribosomal RNA
Rfam family: Bacterial small subunit ribosomal RNA
Source: RNAcentral